UACGGAGGGUGCAAGCGUUGUUCGGAAUCACUGGGCGUAAAGCGCGUGCAGGCGGCCUCCUAAGUCUGGUGUGAAAGCCCUGGGCUCACCCUCGGAAGUGCACUUGAGACUGGCAGGCUAGAGUACGGUAGAGGAGGGUGGAAUUCCUGGUGUAGCAGUGAAAUGCGUAGAGAUCAGGAGGAACACCGGUGGCGAAGGCAGCCCCCUGGGCCUGUACUGACGACCAGGCACGAAAGCGUGGGGAGCAAACAGG
Molecule: ribosomal RNA, 253 nt
Filed under: uncultured bacterium
Lineage: Bacteria
Description: partial 16S ribosomal RNA
Rfam family: Bacterial small subunit ribosomal RNA
Source: RNAcentral